CGCGAAGCCAACUUCAAGAUAAGAUUUCCCACCGCAAGGGUAAGACCCCAGAAAGACUAUCUGGUUGAUAGGUCGAAAGUGUAAGUGCAGCAAUGUAUUUAGCUUAUCGAUACUAAUAGGUCGAGGACUUGACCAA
Molecule: ribosomal RNA, 136 nt
Filed under: Clostridioides difficile
Lineage: Bacteria; Bacillati; Bacillota; Clostridia; Peptostreptococcales; Peptostreptococcaceae
Description: partial 23S ribosomal RNA
Rfam family: Bacterial large subunit ribosomal RNA
Source: RNAcentral